UGGACUACAAGGGUUGAUUGUGUAAAAAGAAGAUUAUCUAAGUCUUAAAAAUACGAACAUUGGUCCAUUUAGGCUGGGCGUUUGGUCACUCUCCUGGAGAACAGCUCUUCUGUUCUUCCGGUCUGUGGGAACACAAGAACAAGGAAAAGGCGUUUGGAAACUGGGAUUCGUUAUUGUGCUCUCGCAAAAUGAAUCGGGCAAAAUUGUCUUGGGAACACCUUUUGCAGAACAACAUCAAAUACAUGUUCUGCAAAGUGGAAGACCAUCUUCAAAAGAACAAAGGUUGAAUUUAAUUCAUUUAUUCCCCAAUAAAUUUCCCCUCCCCUCACUCGCCUGCAACAUCCCCUUGCCUUCGUUCAUCCUUCGCCUGCAACCUCCUCUCACACAGCCAUUCUCCUGCCUUGCGAACGGAAUCAGCCACUCUUCCCACCUCACAAAAUAGCUCACCUUCAACGCUCAACCCUUCCUUGCUGCAACUUGGGUCAUCCACGAUUGUCUUCUUCACUGCGAGCAACCCUCCUAGCAGGUUUUACUCGGGAGUUCUUGGUGGUUCACCUUAAGUUGCUCCUAGCAUACGAAGGAUUGUGCUUGCAGUCUACCUAUUUGAAAGUAUUGUUCCAUAAACUUGAAUCUCUAUCAGCUCCUGGGCUGUUGUGUCCUUGUAUAAAGCUGAAUUUGUGCUGCACCAUACUGUGAUACCCUUGUGCUAAUUGGUUGCUGGAUUGAUGGUGGCAUUGUGGCUAACACUUAAAACUUCUUUUUCCCUCGGCCACAUUUAGCAAUGGUUUAUGGAUUGGUGUUGCAUUGGUGUUUUUCAUUGUGGUUUUGAUUCCCUGUUUUUAAAAUCCUGAGAACAAUAACUUUUGUUAUUCACCUCAUGAAUUUUUAUAUGGGGCUUCAUUUGCUGAGGCCAAUCCUUCACACAACCUCAACUUCCGAGGCUUAUUGAUAUUAUAACUUGCACAUUCCU
Molecule: long non-coding RNA, 970 nt
Organism: Macadamia integrifolia
Lineage: Eukaryota; Viridiplantae; Streptophyta; Magnoliopsida; Proteales; Proteaceae
Exons: 2
Source: RefSeq, a predicted model, not a curated record